AGCAGCCGCGGUAAUUCCAGCUCCAAUAGCGUAUAUUAAAGUUGUUGCAGUUAAAAAGCUCGUAGUUGAAUUUCGAGACCGGCCUACUGGUCGUGCUUUUGUACGUACUGGUUUUAUUGGUUUCUCCUUUCUGACGAACUAUAAUGCCAUUAAUUUGGUGUUAUGGGGAAUCAGGACUGUUACUUUGAAAAAAUUAGAGUGUUUAAAGCAGGCUCACGCUUGAAUACAUUAGCAUGGAAUAACGGAAUAGGACGUUUGAUUCUAUUUUGUUGGUUUCUAGGAUCGACGUAAUGAUUAAUAGGGAUAGUUGGGGGCAUUAGUAUUCAAUUGUCAGAGGUGAAAUUCUUGGAUUUAUUGAAGACUAACUACUGCGAAAGCAUUUGCCAAGGAUGUUUUCAUUAAUCAAGAACGAAAGUUAGGGGAUCGAAGACGAUCAGAUACCGUCGUAGUCUUAACCAUAAACUAUGCCGACUAAGGAUCGGAUGAUGUUAAUUUUUAAUGACUCAUUCGGCGCCUUACG
RNAcentral lists this ribosomal RNA (520 nucleotides) under uncultured Glomus. RNAcentral's name for it is "SSU rRNA". It matches the Rfam family "Eukaryotic small subunit ribosomal RNA", at positions 569 to 1092 of the family's 1831-position model. The record is from RNAcentral. Lineage: Eukaryota; Fungi; Glomeromycota; Glomeromycetes; Glomerales; Glomeraceae.